RNAcentral lists this ribosomal RNA (497 nucleotides) under uncultured bacterium. RNAcentral describes it as "partial 16S ribosomal RNA". It matches the Rfam family "Bacterial small subunit ribosomal RNA", at positions 28 to 507 of the family's 1533-position model. The record is from RNAcentral.
GAUGAACGCUGGCGGCGUGCCUAAUACAUGCAAGUCGAGCGAACGGACGAGAAGCUUGCUUCUCUGAUGUUAGCGGCGGACGGGUGAGUAACACGUGGAUAACCUACCUAUAAGACUGGUAUAACUUCGGGAAACCGGAGCUAAUACCGGAUAAUAUUUUGAACCGCAUGGUUCAAAAGUGAAAGACGGUCUUGCUGUCACUUAUAGAUGUAUCCGCGCUGCAUUAGCUAGUUGGUAAGGUAACGGCUUACCAAGGCAACGAUGCAUAGCCGACCUGAGAGGGUGAUCGGACACACUGGAACUGAGACACGGUCCAGACUCCUACGGGAGGCAGCAGUAGGGAAUCUUCCGCAAUGGGCGAAAGCCUGACGGAGCAACGCCGCGUGAGUGAUGAAGGUCUUCGGAUCGUAAAACUCUGUUAUUAGGGAAGAACAUAUGUGUAAGUAACUGUGCACAUCUUGACGGUACCUAAUCAGAAAGCCACGGCUAACUACGUG